ACAAGGCGCAGGGAGUGGUCACUGGCUUUAUAAAUCACCUGAAGGAGAGUCCAUGUUGUGCUGAGCAGUGAGGUCUGUGCUGUAGUGGGUUUGUAGAAAGAGUCAGAAUGAAGCCUGUUGCAGUGAUUAAGAAAAGAGGACAGAGGACCUGGCUUCAUCCAAAAAAGGGGAUACAGAAACCUACAAAGGCCUACAAGAAGUACCUUGGAAAAGUCUAUGGCCAGGCCCAGCAGGACCAGAGCCAUUGUGCACUGGAUGUUCUUAUCCGACAGAAUAUCUGCAUUGAUGGCUUCAGGCUGAUAGCGUCAGAAGCUGCACGACUCUCCCACUGCAGAAGCAGGAACAAUGUAACCAGACGGAUCUGCUCCGCUCUGACAGAACUGUACCCGGCCAGGUGCCAGGAGCCCCCAGUGAGGGAUGGCCUGGGCUCUGAUCUUGUGGCUUAUCAGUCUUAAAUAAAUAGUUUACUGUAUGUUGCCUGCAAAAGCUGUUUUAAUAGUAGCACUGUAAUGAAUGGGAUAACAAAGUUGUUGUUUUUUUGUUUGUUUUUUUUUUAGUUUUUAUUACACUUUAAUAAAUAUUUUUAGUAAUCUGA
Pseudophryne corroboree (corroboree frog) is the source of this 595-nucleotide long non-coding RNA. RefSeq lists it as uncharacterized. The record is from RefSeq and is a predicted model, not a curated record. NCBI's taxonomy places the organism in Eukaryota, Metazoa, Chordata, Amphibia, Anura, Myobatrachidae. The transcript has 3 exons.